RNAcentral lists this ribosomal RNA (465 nucleotides) under Vreelandella stevensii. RNAcentral's name for it is "partial 16S ribosomal RNA". It matches the Rfam family "Bacterial small subunit ribosomal RNA", at positions 338 to 795 of the family's 1533-position model. Lineage: Bacteria; Pseudomonadati; Pseudomonadota; Gammaproteobacteria; Oceanospirillales; Halomonadaceae. The record is from RNAcentral.
CCUACGGGGGGCUGCAGUGGGGAAUAUUGGACAAUGGGGGGAACCCUGAUCCAGCCAUGCCGCGUGUGUGAAGAAGGCCCUCGGGUUGUAAAGCACUUUCAGUGAGGAAGAACGCCUGGUGGUUAAUACCCAUCAGGAAAGACAUCACUCACAGAAGAAGCACCGGCUAACUCCGAGCCAGCAGCCGCGGUAAUACGGAGGGUGCGAGCGUUAAUCGGAAUUACUGGGCGUAAAGCGCGCGUAGGUGGCUUGAUAAGCCGGUUGUGAAAGCCCCGGGCUCAACCUGGGAACGGCAUCCGGAACUGUCAAGCUAGAGUGCAGGAGAGGAAGGUAGAAUUCCCGGUGUAGCGGUGAAAUGCGUAGAGAUCGGGAGGAAUACCAGUGGCGAAGGCGGCCUUCUGGACUGACACUGACACUGAGGUGCGAAAGCGUGGGUAGCAAACAGGAUUAGAUACCCCAGUAGUC